Long non-coding RNA from Pipra filicauda (Wire-tailed manakin), 1077 nucleotides. RefSeq lists it as uncharacterized. NCBI's taxonomy places the organism in Eukaryota, Metazoa, Chordata, Aves, Passeriformes, Pipridae. The transcript is spliced from 9 exons. The record is from RefSeq and is a predicted model, not a curated record.
GGCCACACAGAAGAUCUUGGGCUCACAAAAGGAACAGCCGCCUUCUGCCAAUGGAUGGUGCCCUGGAGGAGAACACGGGAAGCAGCAGCAAACAAUGUCAGUGGUAAGGAAGCAAAGGAAGCUGUGGAAGUUCCCAGGCUUGUAGAGACUCUCUCAAACACCUCAGGACUUGCCUGGAUGCAGCUCCCCAACGCUUCUUAAAACAACUGUGUCUGAGGAGGUGUGAACCGACAGGAAGGAGCAGGAUGAAAAAGUAAAAAGAGGUGGUGUUUGAAGCAAAUUUCUUCCAUCCUACUCUCUCUUGACAUCUCCGGUGGAGGUUGACUGCUAACUAUGGAAGAAGUAAAAGGAAAAUCUCAAAUGACCUUCCCUAAAGAUUUUUCUUUUUGGGUAAGAGGAGCUGAAGACUGAAAUAAACUGGUGGUAAAAUACUCUGGAAGGACAUGUUGGAUUUUUUAUGGCAUGAAUCACGAACUAUCAACACAAAUUCUCCAUGCCCUGACUGGAACCUUCAGAAGUCCUCUUUGGCCCAUUUCAUAUGAUCAGGAAUUUCAAAAGAACUCUCAAUUUCAAAGCAUAGUGAUUCCAGAUCCAACAGAAAUAUGAAGACAAGCAGUGACUGCAAUCUGCAACGUUUUACCCUUUUAAAUGCUUGCUAUGGAUUCUUACUAUGAAUUUCAGUCUUGGUUCCAUGGACUGAACCCAGCACAGUUAUAUUUCAGUGAAGAAAAGUUGGACUCUUCAAACCUGUCGAAUUUCAGGAAAAUUUAUGGAAGACAAGAAACCCUCUCUGUUAAUAAGAAAUACAUAUCUCAAAGAAAAAUCUGCUUCAACGUCAGCUUUGAUUCCAGGGCUUUCCAAGUGAUCCAGGAUGAGUAACUGAGAUGGGUGUGAGGGGAGAAGCAUGAAGGGACAAUGAGCCUGGCCACGGACACAUUCCAAAGCAGAGAAUCCCUUGUGGAACAAAGUAACAUGCAUGUUGUGUCCAUACUUCCAAAUGGAGAAUUUAAUGAGUGACUCAGGCUGUGAAAGAACAAUUGUUCAGGGGACAAGUGUGAAGGAGGAGCUAAAACCUGC